GGAGAGGUGGCCGAGUGGCCGAAGGCAACGGUUUGCUAAACCGUCACAGGGUGAAAGCUCUGUCGCGGGUUCAAAUCCCGCCCUCUCCGCCA
Molecule: transfer RNA, 92 nt
Filed under: Nitrospirota bacterium
Lineage: Bacteria; Pseudomonadati; Nitrospirota
Also listed under: 1 other name
Description: tRNA-Ser
Rfam family: tRNA
About the family: Transfer RNA (tRNA) molecules are approximately 80 nucleotides in length. Their secondary structure includes four short double-helical elements and three loops (D, anti-codon, and T loops).
Source: RNAcentral